AGCAAAGCUCUGAGGUUUUGCCACAGGUUAUUCAAAACAGGAGGACUCAGCACUGUAAAAUGUGAUCACAAAUCAUGGUUCUCUGAACUCUCAGCCACAGGGGUUGCUGCUACUGUUGGGCAAGGACAAUAACAGCUUCACAUUGCAGUCAGCCCCUGGGCUGGGUUAUCCUGCUAAAUAGGAAGCAGUUGAGUAAAUAAGGCAAGAAACAUUUUAAGGAGAAUCUGAGCGGCUCAAAGUGGAGGUGAAAACCACUUGGGUGGAGCUGGGUCUUUGUGCAGUUUAAUUAUCUCCCAUCCCUCACAUCGCUCUUCAUCUUCCUCAUGUCCGCCAGAAACUGGGUUACAUGGGAACAGACGGCAGUGUCCUUUCCUUUCCUCUUCUGUCUGGAUCCCAUCGCGGAGGCAUGAGGCACCAGCAACCCACUGAAAACAUAUUUGAAAUUAAGACCAGAAUUCAGGGCUGGCUUUCUCCCCACCAGGCCAUUGCUGGCCCCCAGGACUGCGGCAUCGAUUUUUAG
This 520-nucleotide long non-coding RNA is filed under the name Fukomys damarensis (Damara mole-rat). RNAcentral describes it as "lncRNA (ENSFDAG00000031073.1)". The record is from RNAcentral. Lineage: Eukaryota; Metazoa; Chordata; Mammalia; Rodentia; Bathyergidae.